RNAcentral lists this long non-coding RNA (322 nucleotides) under Androctonus crassicauda. Lineage: Eukaryota; Metazoa; Arthropoda; Arachnida; Scorpiones; Buthidae. The record is from RNAcentral.
UGAUUAUUCUUAAACUGAAUAUUUUUGUCCUUUCUAAUUUUAUUUCAGUUUCCUAUAAAGUUUUAAUUAUUACAAAUAAUCUUCCACUUAUAAUGAAGUUCAGCUAUUUUGCACUUUGCCAGAAGAGAAACAGCAAACAAAUGUUGGCUGUUUCUUCUUCUUUCAGGAUGAACAGCCAACAAUCCUAUUGCUUCAAAUCUCAUCAUCAUUUUUUGGAUCUCUUCAAAGGCCCUUCAAAUUUGAAAAUUUCCACAAAGCUACUGCUAUGGAAUCGGUAUUUUGAUAAAAGAGUUUUGCUAGCAAAGUGCAAUCUUGUAAACUG